UACGUAGGUGGCAAGCGUUGUCCCAGAUUUACUGGGUGUAAAGGGGGCGCAGGCGGGAAGCUAAGUUGGAUGUGAAAUACCGGGGCUCAACUCCGGAGCUGCAUCCAAAACUGGUUUUCUUGAGUGGAGUAGAGGCAAGCGGAAUUCCGAGUGUAGCGGUGAAAUGCGUAGAUAUUCGGAGGAACACCAGUGGCGAAGGCGGCUUACUGGGCUCUAACUGACGCUGAGGCCCGAAAGCGUGGGGAGCAAACAGGAUUAGAUACCCUGGUAGUCCCU
RNAcentral lists this ribosomal RNA (276 nucleotides) under uncultured prokaryote. Its description in RNAcentral is "partial 16S ribosomal RNA". It matches the Rfam family "Bacterial small subunit ribosomal RNA", at positions 524 to 798 of the family's 1533-position model. The record is from RNAcentral.